AGAAAGGUAGGUCAUGACUGGAUUUCUAAUCUAUUUCAUAGGCAGUUCGAUUCUGUUUCUUUCUC
This 65-nucleotide transfer RNA is filed under the name Paratapes undulatus (undulate venus clam). RNAcentral describes it as "tRNA-Ser". The record is from RNAcentral. Lineage: Eukaryota; Metazoa; Mollusca; Bivalvia; Venerida; Veneridae.